Molecule: long non-coding RNA, 673 nt
Filed under: Homo sapiens (human)
Lineage: Eukaryota; Metazoa; Chordata; Mammalia; Primates; Hominidae
Description: MIR548X host gene
Source: RNAcentral
UUUUGGCAACCAGGAAGGGACCUCCAAAGCGACCUGCCACUGACUCCCAUCCCUCCGGAUCCGGCAGGCUGUCCGCUGUGCUCCUGAACCAGCGAGGCACCCAUUGCCAAUCCUGAUUGGGCUAAAGGCUUGCCGUUGUUCCUGCACGGCUAAGUGCCCAGGUUCAUCCUAAUUGAGCUGAACACUAGUCACUGGGUUCCACGGUUCUCUUCCAUGACCCAUGGCUUCUAAUAGAGCUAUAACACUCACCGCACGGCCCAAGAUUCCAUUCCUUGGAAUCUGUGAGGCCAAGAACCCCAGGUCAGAGAACACGAGGCUAGCCACCAUCUUGGAAGUGGCCUACCACCAUCUUGGAAGUGGCUCGCCACCAUCUGAGGAGCUCUGUGAGCAAGGACCCCCGGGAGAAAGCAUUUAUGGUGAGGAGAAAAGCAGCUGGUAUCACACUCUACCCAAGUCCCAAAAGCAGGUUCACAUAACUCCUGUCUUCAUUAUCUGAUAUCCGUAUGAAGAAUGUAAGAUAGAAAAAAACAUUAGCAUUUGAGAGGAUUGAAAGAGAAGCAUUCUCAGCAGAGCCAAGAUUCACUUAGAACAAAAGGUCUGCAGGUGUACCCAACAGCUCCGAAGAGACAGCGACCAUCAAGAACAGGCCAAGAUGACGAUGGCAGUUUUGUCG